Non-coding RNA from Phrynosoma platyrhinos (Desert horned lizard), 73 nucleotides. The record is from the annotation of a GenBank genome assembly. NCBI's taxonomy places the organism in Eukaryota, Metazoa, Chordata, Lepidosauria, Squamata, Phrynosomatidae.
GUCAGAUGUGGCAUAGUGGUUUGUGUGUUGGGCUACGACUCUGGAGACUGGGAUUCGAUUCCCCGCUCAGCCA